RNAcentral lists this ribosomal RNA (463 nucleotides) under uncultured bacterium. Its description in RNAcentral is "bacterial SSU rRNA". It matches the Rfam family "Bacterial small subunit ribosomal RNA", at positions 28 to 506 of the family's 1533-position model. The record is from RNAcentral.
GACGAACGCUGGCGGCGUGCUUAACACAUGCAAGUCGUACGACAGCAUUUCCUUUUAGGUUGUGUUUGGAGUGGCGAACGGGUGAGUAACACGUGGGUGACCUGCCCUCAGCUCUGGGAUAAGCCUGGGAAACCGGGUCUAAUACCGGAUAUGACUCCAUGACGCAUGUUGUGGGGUGGAAAGCCUUGUGCGGCUGAGGAUGGGCCCGCGGCCUAUCAGCUUGUUGGUGGGGGAUGGCCUACCAAGGCGACGACGGGUAGCCGGCCUGAGAGGGCGACCGGCCACACUGGGACUGAGACACGGCCCAGACUCCUACGGGAGGCAGCAGUGGGGAAUCUUGCGCAAUGGGCGAAAGCCUGACGCAGCGACGCCGCGUGAGGGAUGACGGCCUGGUGUAACGUCUUCUAGCUCCGACGACGCGACGAGUGACGGUAGGAGGCGAGAAGAAGACGACCGGACCGAA